AUCUAGUAAUUGUCUGCAUGGAGCUCCAAAUGGCGUUGGACAAGGUUCAGUCCUACCAACUUCACCUUCAGGUGGAAGCACAGAUUCCUUGGGUGCAAGCAGAUCUACUCCUUCAGUUUCUGGUUUAAGUACCUCUAACUUUGUCUGGGGAAGUGCUUAUGCAUGUCAACAACCGUCUUGCUUGUUGAUCCAAGCUUGUGGUCUUCUAUUAGCUCAGCUUCCCACUGAAUUUCACUCGCAACUUUAUUUGGAGGCUACGCGCGUAAUUAAGGAGAGUUGGUGGCUGACUGAUAUAAAGAGGUCAUUGGGUGAAGUAGACUCUGCUGCUGGGUAUGCAUUGUUGGAUCCAACUUGGGCUGCACAAGAUAAUACCCCAACUGCCAUUGGUAUGCAUACGUUACUAUACCUUCUCAGCAGUAGCUCUUUUUUUUUUGGGGUCAGAUUCUCAGCAGUAGUUAGGGACACCUUUUGCAUAUGCAUGCCCUCAAAUAGUGUUCAGCAAACAAGUCCACCUUUGCUUAAAAUUUAACUUCGCCUUACAUUAAAAAUCCUCUUCAUGGUUUUUGUUAGAAGCAACUGUAAUAUGAUUAUAUUACCCUAAUACUAUGUUUGGAAAACAUGAUGGGAGAGGAGAAUGCAAAGAAAAUGCCCACUUAUAAAAAAAUUUCCUCCUCUACAUACAAGAAUUAUAAAAUGUUGAAAUAUUUACCAUCCAAAUUUUUGUUCACCUCCAUUUUCAUGCAAUUAUCAUAUGUUGUAAACAAAUCAAAAAACAGUCAGUGUAAUAAAUCCAUAGGUGGAAUAUGUCCUUGUGUGCAUCAUUGUCCUUAUGAGCUCUUGGUUUUCUUUACACUGGACUAAUUUCAACUUAAGCAUGCAAGGUUAUGAUCAUCCGGUUAGUAAUGAUUCUACAUGGGAUUUUCCACUGAAAACAUUGGGUCAAUUUUAACUUACUGUCUUCCUUGAUGUUGCAAUUUAAUAAACGACUCUUCAUUUUGUUGUGCGGUCUACAUAUACUCAGCCUGACAUGUAAAAUUCAUGAUGUGUUGCUGUUAUUUACCUGAAUUUUAUUUUGUGGACUCUCAAAUCAUAAUUAACCCAACCCAUGUCCAUCACGAAUAUCUGGAUAAUGGUACUGAUCUGUAUGUGUGCUUGUGUGAUUUGUAUUCUACACGUGUGUCAAUAUUGAAUGAAAAAAAAUCCUGAAACCUAGAAUAAGUAAGUUUAGUUCCAAUAAAGAAGGCCCUGAUAAGUGGAUUCAGUGAAUUCUCAGUCGAUUCUAUAUAUUAAUGGUUCAAAUGAAUCUUCUUUUAUUAUUUAGUUCCAAAUCCAGGAUGUCCAUGAGUUAUGGUCCAGAGCAUGAGCUUGCAUUUGUUUGCUAUUCUGAUAAUUGUCCUUUCAUGCACUAUCUAGGUAACAUAGUUGCGCUGCUUCAUUCCUUCUUUAGUAAUCUCCCGCAAGAAUGGCUGGAUGGGGCACAAGCGAUCAUCAAACACCUCAGACCAAUUACAUCCGUUGCAAUGUUGAGAAUAGCAUUUCGUAUAAUGGGUCCAUUGCUUCCAAGACUUGCCAAUGCUCACUCCCUUUUCAACAAGGUAAAGGAAGUGAUCCCUCUUCUUCUAUUUGGAUACUUCUGUGGAAAAUGCGACAUAGAGAAAUGAAGCUCAGUGUUCAUUCGAGUAUGUUUCUUUACUAUUUAUUAGUUGAGAAACAAAAUCAGAAUUAAAACUUGAAUAGGGUAAGAAGUUCGUGGAUCUUUAAACUUUUUCUUCUUAAAGGUUGGAAGUUUUGAAGGAAAAUGAAGUUAUCUCACAAUCACAAAGUUUGAGUGGUUAGACAGGAAACAUAAAACAGAAUCUAUCCUUCCCUUUUGCCACGUUUAAGAGUUGAGAGGGUGGAGUAACAAAGCACUAGCCUCUCUCACGCGGUCUUAUAGUAGAUAGAAGGCCUUUUGCAGUGAUAAUUUCAUAAGAUUGAAGUUUUAAAAAAAAUUAACCGUGUUGAUGUCUAUAGCCCAGAUAGUGAGUUUUCUUCUAUUGUGUCAUUUCUUUAUUUCAGCUGUCAACCUUGUCAUUUAUAUUUUUGUUUUUUGCUUGUCUAGUGUAAAGCUAUACCAGUUUGGUCAUAUCCCUAUAUAUUAAGGUUAAAUGACUAAUUACAAGAAACAUUUUCUGAUGACACAAAUGUCCUGAUUCCUAUAAAUGGUUUGAAGUGCAAGACAAUGGGAUAAGUUGACUUAUUGCUUUUGUUCCUUGAAGUUGUCUUCCCAUCUUCUUUAUCAUGCUCUGUACUCUGAGCUUCAAAGGAGACUUUUUCAGGAGCAUGCUUGAUAACUGGAAUAUUCUUCUUUAAGUUCCUACUUGCGCUUUUAUUUUUUAUACUUACUGAUCCUCCUCCUCUUCAAACCCUAGUGAGUUCUUUCCAAAGUCUUAUGGCAGGAUGCUGCAUUUUUCAAGUAAUUGUAAUCAGUGUUUGUUUAAAACUCAUCGUUCUGUCGACAGUACUUAAUGCAGAUGGUGUUUCAGCAAUAGUGAAUGUAAAGCUGUGUACUUAUUAAGUGUUAUCAGUUAAUGUAUGAUACUCUCAAAGUCAUUUUAUUUUUCACUAAGGGAGAGAACAUGAACAGUAGAACUUUGAUGUGUUCAUUAAAUUACGGUGUACAAUAAUCUAAGGCUAGAUUUAGUUGUCCGGAUUUCUAAUCAGGAUAGUAUUGGAUAGGAUAUGAUAUGAAAUUCUGGAAUUUUUCUAUAUAUUAUCAAUUAUUUGGUGAAUUGCAAUAUUAAGGUCGGAUAUAUUCACAUCGUAUCAUGUACAUUUUUUUGAUAUAAAUGACAUAUCAUUGUAAAUGAACCUAAAAUUCUUGAACUGAGAUAAUAAAAAUCUCUCGUGACACUAUUCUCUAAUUUAUUUUUAUUUUUGUUUUAUUUUUCCUAUCUUUUUAAAUUAUUUUCUUUAUUAUUUCUUUUUUCCCCUUCCAUCAUUCUUUAAUAAAAUUUUAUCAAAUAGUAAACUGUAUUAAUAUGCCUAAAAUAUGUAAUAAAUAUAAAUAAAUAAUUAAAAGAUUGAAUGUAUAUUAUAAGAUAGAAUUAAUGUUGAAUAUAUAAAUUAAUAUAAGAUUAAAAUUUAAAAAAUAAUUUUUUAUUUUUUAUUUUUAAUUUCUUAAAUUAGAAUUAAAAUAUUAUUUAUAUUGAAAUAUAACUUCAAUUUUGUUAAUUUAAUAAGUUUGUUAUUCGAGAAAAAUAACUUUUCUAUUAUGGACGUUAUAAAUCUUAUCUACCUUUAUCCCACUUUCCCCAUGGAUAAUUUUAUCCGGCUUAUAUUCCCCUUAUAUCUGACUUCAUUUUGUCCUGAGCAAGUACCAAACAUAAGAUAGGAUAAAUCAUAUCCUAUCCCAAAUUUUAUCCUGAGUCAAACGCAGCCUAAAGGUGUAUUCUAUGUAUAAAUGGUCAUUUUUCAUGAUUCUCUAUCAAUCUAUUAUCUGUGAUUGUCAACUCUUUCUGCGCGUCAUUAAUUUGAUCUAUUAUGUGGUAUUUUGCACCUACUUAUUAAACUAAGUUGUUUCUUAUUCUUCUCACUUCCAGAUACUUACAUUGUUGUUAACCACAUUGGUGGAUGUCUUUGGGAAGAACUCACAACCCUCAAACCACGUUGAAGCAUCAGAAAUAAAGGAUCUCAUCGAUUUCCUGUAAGUGGUUUUUCCUUUUGUAUGGUUAUCCAGGCAGAACAUUGCAGAUGUUUUUGGUGCAUGAGGUUUUGGAGAAGUGCCUCGGUUAAUUACUCUAUAGCGUUUCCCAAAAGGUGCUCAGUUUAGAAUUUGACAAUUCUUUGCAUGCGCAUGACAUAUCAUCGUAAAUUUUGUAUAUAGGAAGACUCAUGAUUUUAUCCCAAACUUUGGUUCAAAAUCUUAUCCAUAACAAAUCUUUUACUUCUCUUUUCACCAGAAUUGCAAGCAGUGGUAUCUGUUCUCGUCUAAUUAAAUGUACGCUGAAAUGAGAGUUGCAUCUGCUGCCUAAUGGAUGUCUUCUUAAUUGUUCUACCAGCCAUCAUGUCGUCCAUUAUGAAGGUCAGGGAGGACCUGUGCAGGCGAACAGCAAGCCCAGACCUGAGGUACUUGCUCUCCUUGGUAAAGCAUCCGAGAGACUUAGACCAGACGUGCAGCACCUUUUUUCUCACUUGAAACCUGACAUAAACACUUCCAUCUAUGCCGCCACCCACCCGAAGCUUGCACAAAAUUCAGGACAAUGAAAGCAUCUAUAGUCGACACCUGGAGCCUCAUAUGUUUGCUCAAUAAAAUUAUAAGUGGCUCCUCAUUUUGGCCGUUUCUCCCUCUUAUACAUGCUUGCAUUUGAAAGCAAAAGAGUCGCUGCUUCUGAAGCAUGAAGAUAUGCAAGUCUACUUGGUGCUGACCUUGGCGUCAUAAAUAGCCUGCAAACUGUUCGCUGGAUACUCUCAGGUAAUCUCUUCUGUAAAUCUGUAAAUACCCAAUCUUGUGACUGUUCGCUGGAUACUCUUCAGUUAAUCUCUUCUGUAAAUCUGUAAAUACCCAAUGUUGUGAUACAUGGAUACUAGCCUACAAAUUUUAGAUAUUACCUCGAAUCUUGGUUAUUAAAUCUUCAAGUGGAGUUCAGAUCCUACUAAAUUCUCCUCGUCUGUUCUCUCUGUAUGCGUGUGUUUUGGAUGUUGCCCUGUCUAAUUGGCUGCUUACUUCAAUGGUGACAUGUCGAUUCAUCAACAUGCCAACAAAAAGUCAUAACUACGAUCUCCCGAUGAUGACGAGGCCUUUCAUUCAGAAUUUCUGUAUAGGAUUCAUUGUUUAGAUUGAUCGUUGGGACGUGCCAAAAUUUUCUUUGGUAGUCAAAUUUAAGUAGGGAAACCUCGCACAUGGAAUAUCACAACUGAAGAUGAAACCGUGCGUGGUUUGAAGGACAUUAUAUAGUUCAUCGAGUAAAGAGAUAAACAGUGUCACUAGAGUGCUUUGUAAACUGGAUCGGACCGGUUGAAUUAUGUGUUGGUCAAUUCUUGGUUUGCUUAAUUGCGUGCCACUUAUAAAUCUGAUUUAGCAUGUCAUCAUGAGGUAGUGGUUAAGAGGAGGAGAGGGAGAUCAGAGAUGGGCGUAUUUUCCCAGCACGCUGGCCUUUUCCUCUCGGCCAUUGAAUGGGACUCUGCGUCUCGCUUUCCAAAGACCACAAUCUUCAUCUCAAGGUUCUCUUGCCGCAGAGAAACUCUCAAAACUCUUAUCCAUAAUUCUGUGAUUGUACAUUACUAGUCAUAAUAAAAUUUGUCCAUGAUAUCAUCGUACAAGAUUUUGAAGAAUUUCAUUUGCUUUCGGGUCAUCUCCCCCAAACAUAGAACUUACCGCGAGCAUUGCGGUUAUUAGCAACUUGUGGUUAUUGGCUGCUGCGAUAAUCCUAAUUGCAAAGUAGAAGAAGAUUUUGGACCCAAGACUGCGUGUGGUUUAUAGCUUCGCACUCUCUGGGCAUGCGUUCUUUUAAGGUCCGUAUCAAUUCGCGAAAACUACUGAAUCUCUGGGAAAACAAGUAGAACAGUGAAAACAGUAUAGUUGAAGGAGACUUUCUUUUCUUUUUUUUGAUCGACAGUUCAAGAAGAGUUACGGGGCACAAAACCGGAUCCCUCUGCACAUAUUACAGUAGAUUUCCUUUCACGCAGCGUAAUGGGACUUGCAUCGGAGUACUCAUCAAGCCAAGCAUAUGGAAAAGAUUAGCUUCGUCGAAUUGACAUGAAUCGGAUGUAACAUCCCCUGAAGCAAUAUCAAGACACUUAAAAAAGAGUCUCUCUAAGAGAAUCAUCUUUCUACAUGUCAUUGGCCAAAGACUUAGUUGAUAAGUUGAUAAAGUUAAUACAGAGCAUCCGGCAGAAAGGAUGUUCUCAGAUUUCAGAAAGAACAUGCUCCGAGGAUCCACAUGACACGACCUUCGAGAAAAGGGAGGUCGCAGUUUGCACCAUUUGUUCAUGGAAGAAUACGUAUUAUUAGAGAUACAUCUCUAAGGUUGAUUCUUAAAGUAACGACGGCUGAAAGAACAGAAUACCUCAGCCAUGCACUAGCAUACCAAGAUAAGAUUUUUCUUGCUGGAGUAAAUACCAGAUUAUUCAAAUUGCUAAUGGAAAAUCUUCUUUCAACAGGGACAUCAACAGCCCAAGAAGCUAAAUCUCCGUCCUCUCCCACGGGUGCUCAGUAAAGUCUCUAGGUGAACUAAGGAGAAUCAUCAUCCUACAACUGACAAUAGUCUCUUAACCAUUGUGUGCAUAAAUUGUGUUGACUUCAAUUAGCAUACCAGGUUCUGGGCAAUUCAGAAUAUUCAACUUGCAGUCAGGUGCGAGUAGCGAGACCACUUUCACUGCAGCUUAUAUGACCUAGAAGAAGCGAUCUGGGUGCAGAUGUCGAUCCAAUAUACAAACUCAACCCAUCAUCAACCUCCCACUCAAUAUGAAAAUACAUUUUGGUGACCCUCAAUUCUCACACACUCAACUGCUCCAGUCUUUAGUGCCGACCCCAAUACAGCCUAAUUUCUUAUUCAUUUUCAAUAAUCAGUCUUGCAUUGACGUCCAGUUCGAAUUGCCCAAAGGAGUGCAUCUGAUGAAACAGUCAUGUUGCCAUCUUAUUUUUCGUCUUAAUGAGAAUUGGCAAAGUUCCAAGCAUGAGUCUGAUCUUACGUGAACCAAAUCGAGACUGGCACAAAUCCAUAUUCCUACUGUAUUCAUCAUCAAAUUACUAAAUCAAUCACGUUAUGCGGUGCAGAAAAGAUGAAUCACAAUCCACAGCUCACAGCAGAGCCUAACAAAUGGGGAAAAGCAAUUCAUGUUUUGACGAACGAAAGAAAGGCUUUUCCUUUCAAAUGUCGGAAGGCCAUUUGUCCACAACUACAGCUAGCAGCAAUAGCUAAAUCCACAAGGACUUCCUUUAGCUCAUACUCUAGUCCCAUAAAUUUUUCGAUGUCUAACCCUGUCAGGUGAAUCUUUUCGUACAUAAGGUUACUCCACAUCAUCCCAUUCCACAACCAUCUGCAUUUCAUCCCCACUAAGCAAACUUAGGCUGGAAUACUCAGAACCAAGCAGACAGCACAGGGAAAUUCCAUACACGAACUUUGUGCCAUCCAAGCAAUUGAUACUCACUAAAAAUAAACAAAAGAACGUUUAGCGCACCUGCAAUUCGAUCGCGCCUACAGAAAAAUCCUCUCAAACCGGAUCUUAUAAACCCUAGGCAUCAAUAACACUUAAAUCGAACCACCCCAGAAAGUCACACAAUGAAUCUGCAAGUCAAUGCAACCCCCUCGCCCAACACUAAUAGACGAUGUUACUAAUUCCAACCCUCACAUUACGUCCGCCAUCUUCAAAUCCCACAAUAACCAACACAACGAACCGAAAGCUAGCCACAACACUACAAGAUCUCCCUCCUUUGAUUGUUUAGUUUCGAUGUUUUGGUUAUUGUUAGUUAAAUAAGUUAUUUGAAACGUUCUGGCUGUUUCAGCGACACCCACCAUGAGUGGUUCGCUUCUCUGUACCUGCAUCAAAUUCACUGGUUUAGUUUUUUUUUGACAACCUUUAAGGGUACAAUGGCAUUCUAAUGGAUUUUCUGCAUCAAGUUCUUGUGCAAAUUGAAGUAGGUUGAGUAAUAGUGCUACACGCCCCAUUUACAAUUGAUGGUUUUUUCUACGCCACUAGAUUCCGUAGCUUCUGAUGCUUGUGAUUUACAACUUAGAACUUGUCAAAUUUCGUGGGCUUAAAGUUCUAAAAUUAAUUUUGUGCAUCAAGUUACGACAGUACAAGCAUUUAAUCUAUUUCCCACAACAGUUAUAGUACACCCGAACACAACAUGAUUACUCUUCCUAAUCGUUCAUUAAUUAGAGUAUGAUGACAUGCCUAUGAAAAUGGUAGUAUAAUAUCCACCUAUUAUCUGACAUUUCGGUGAGGGCGUAUGCAACGUUUUCAUCUUUGUGAUCUUCUGGCUGAGCUUGUCAUUCUCAAAUCAGAUAUUCUUGUAAGUUCUAGGGAUACGUCUCCCAGGAUGAACAUUUUUUUUUCCUACUUGUUUGUAAGCAUGAGGUGAUCUUUCUUUCAUCUGGAUGGAAUUACAAUAUGCCCGGAAUUGUUAUCCUAAGUACACUUGUUGGGUGAAUAUCUAAUGGCCUGUUGGUCUCCCCAACCCUGUUGCAUGUUGUGGACAUUGUACUAAUUGUUUUAAGCCAUUUUUCAAUGCUGAUACGUUCAAGAGAUUUAGCUGAUGUUGAUUAUAGGAAACUAUAGGAAACAAAUUGAAGACCAUUAAACUAAGGCUAUCAAUUUGCCACUGACACUGGAACAAAUGGUACCAUACAAUGUCAGAGUGCUUAACAGACUUACAUUAUUGUCUGAACUGUGAAUACCUAUAGCUACAUGUAUCGUGCCUGAUGCAGCCCGCAUUGAAGACCAAGUCUCUCGACCAAGAAGAUCGGCCCGCAUUCAAGCUCGACGAAACCGAGAAGCCGUAUCGAUAUCUUGAGUCCAUCCCGGAAGUUUGAAAGAAGACACCUUGGGAGCCAUGAAGACGUUAUGCUUUUACUAGUUUCUAGUUCCUAAGCUCUUUAAUGCUUUCAAGUUUCUAUGCUCUAUCUUUAUUUCUUUGACGAUAUAAGCCAUCCAAUUCCUUGUAGAAGACAGACGACUUUUGACAAAUGAAAAAACUUUGCUUUGAAGCAAGUAUCUUGAACCUUGUAAAGUUCAUAUCCUUGAAAACCUAGAAGAGUUUUCACUCCGUCCUCGAAGAGUCGGAGCUUUUCGAAACCUGCAUCCUUGAAGAGUUGCAGUCAUCGAUCUGCAUCCUUGAAGAGUUGCAGUCAUCGAUCUAGAAGAAUCGGUGCCCCCUCAACUUCCUUGGAGGCCUAGAAGAGCAACCAACGGAGUCUCUAUCUUUUCCUGUUCUGUUCGUUACUUCCAACCCAAUUUCGACUAUUCUACAGUGCUUAUUCAGAAAACCCAAGAUAGAGAAAUUGUAGAUCCAGAAGUCUUUGUUCAUUUGGCUUUGGAAUCAGGUCGAUCCGAUCUGUAUAGACAAAGAUACGACUGUUCUCCUGAGCUCGCGCAGUGCUGAAAUUCCUGUCGUCCUGUUUCCGUGUGCGAGUCACUCUCCCGAUCCUACUGCUUGAGAAAGCCUACCCUUGGCUUGCAUCAGUGCCAUUGUAGUAUAUGUAAUUACUUUUGUUUAUGCUAAAAGAAUAUGUGUAUGAGUGUUUUGGCUAUAAUUCUGUCUCUCUGUUAUUUCCCUUGGCGAUGCAAAAUUUGCUACAGGUGGAAUGGUAGAUGGUAGAUCUUCCUGUAUGAAUUGUGAGGGUGUCAAAUUUUAAUUUUUUUUUGCAUAUAUAUGGAAAAUUAUUUACUAGUUUGGUAACUUCGUUAACCUCAUUCCCUGUCAUUCCACUGUCAAUAUUCCUUUUGUAUGUUUUGUGAAAUAAUCUUAUUAUUACUUCUGCUCUUAUGAAUUGGUUUUCAAUAUUCCCCUACUUUCUGCUAGUUUCAUGAUGUAAACUGCUGAAUGAAAAUAGUCUAGCAGAAAAGUCAUGAAAUCACAUAAUGGUAACGUUUAACUCUGGACCAUCACAUAAAACCUGACUAAGGCAGAAGCCUCAGUUAAUGGCAAAACGUUGGUCCACUAAAUCAGCAUAAGUGGUCUGUCUCACACUAUUUAUCUACUUAAAUAUGAGCUCGUGGAAUGAGCCAAAUGAACUUAACGUGGCUUCUUUCUGGAAAUGGAAGGAAAGGAUAGUUGUCAAGCAAGGAAUUUCAUCUUUUCUGAUGGUCUAAGGUAAGGAUCGAGGUGGAUGUUGUGCCUGUUGAUUUUGUCUUUUGCCACAUCAAGUCCAUUCUGCAUUAUAAUCAAUAUGUGCUCCACUUGGUGAUUCUAUCUUCACCCUGUCCAGAAUUUCAUCUGAUUUUAUCCUUGUCUUUUGUGCAGAAGAUAUUUACUAACUUAGACCAUUAUUCCUAGGUAAAUUUUAUUUGCAGUGGGUUUUAGUAAAUACCCCAUCGGAGUCUUAAGAUUCUUUUAUGAAUUCUCUAACGAAGUAAUCCUCGUACUUUACCAGUUGGACGGGCUUGGCUGCGAAUUCUAGGUCUGUAGCGCUACAUUAAGCAGUGCUGGGAAGUCUUUUAGAUUAAGCUUAACAUAUGAAAGAAGACAGCAUUUGCACUUGCAGAACUGUCUAAGAUGUACAGGCCUUCGAUUUCUGGAAAGUUUUUAUGGUCUCUAUUGAAAGUGUACUAAAGAAUUUGAUCAAAAGAAUGUCUUCUUUUGCCACUACCAUGAUCUAUUAUCUCUCUCUCUCUCCCCGCGUGUGUGCAUGCAUGUGUGUAUCUGUGCGUGUGGACUCUGGGUAUGCCUCUAUCAUGUAAUGAAGCUGGAAUUGUGCAACCUGCAAUGUGUGUAUCUGCGCAUGUGUGGACACUGGGUAUGCCUCUAUCGUGUAAUGAAGCCGGAAGUGUGCAACCUGCAAUGUCAAGAAUGGUUUUAGCCACUUGUUGAACCUGUCUCAAGAAGUCAGUAUAUAAAUGUCUGUUUCAAGCGAAAGAAUUAGCUUUAUGAGCCAGCUAACAUCUCACUUUGUUUCCCCGUGUUUGUGCAUUGCAGGAGUUCGACUGUUCAUACGGUCCAGCUUGGCGUUGCAUCGUGGGAACUAGCUUCGGAUCUUAUGUCACGCACUCGCUUGGAGGCUUCCUGUACUUCUCAAUCGAUAAGGUUUACAUCCUUCUCUUCAAGACAGCAGUUGAGCCCUUGGACCACUGAUUGUAUCUGGACAGUCUCUCUGUCUUGUUACGCCUUCACAAGUUUUUCUUCCUAGAUUAGUAUGUAUAAUUGUGGUUUGCGAAACUUCCAAGCGUCAACUUCGAAGGUAUUCAUCACUAACUGCCUGCCAGCGGACCGGUGACUACCAAUUCUUGUAAUAAUUUCUCAUGUCGGAUUGAAUCUCAACCAUUUAUCUGGUGUCUAACGCUCUAUACCUUGUUCCAGACUUAAAUUUAGGUGGUUGCGUUAUGAUUUGUAACUCGUCAAUGUCCUAUCUAUAAUAUGAGAUUAGGUAACUGUUUCUAUGUUCUGCUUGAUCGCAAGCGACAGCUGCUUAACCACAUUACCCCUACCGUUGGGCCCUGAGGGGUACUAGUCUAGAUUAUAUACGGUCAUGUACUAAACAAAAUAUUACAAAUAUAAACAUAUACCCACGUCCUUAACCUAUCAUAUCCUAAUCCUAUAUCAAUGUCAAUCCCUCCGUUAAGGCUCUGUUUGUUUCGUGGAAAAUAAUUUCCAAGAAAAUAUUUUCCGGAUUUUCUGGCGUUCAUUUCAUGGAAAAUAAAUUCACUGGGAAAAAUGUUUUUCAUGAAAGGAAAAAAAUCUUCUAAAUUAAGGAAAAAUGUUUUCUACUUUAAUGUUUUCUACUUUUUAAGAGUAGAAAACAUUUUCCUCACUUGAUUUCUCUUAUCUCACACCUCUACAAAUCCUCACUUUCUCCUUUCCUUUCUUUUUCUUAUUUUCUUUUUUUGUUCGAAUUAUUUUUAAAUUUUCUUUUUCUUUUUUAAUUCGAAUUAAUUUUAAUUUCCUUUUUCUUUUCUUUGUUUCCCAUCUUUUUAUUUCUUGGCUAGUCAUUGGCCGUUGCCAGUUGAAUCUCGAGCUCAUCAAUCUCAAGUUCGCAUUGGGCACUCUUGCUUAUCAUUUUCUUUAUUUAUUCUACCAUGUAGUUGUACAUUGCUCAAGCAAAUGGCUCUACAUUCUUUACUUCUUUUCUCUUUUGUUUAUUAAAACACAAAAGAAGCCAGGGGAGACCACCACCCUCAGCGGUGCAGCUGGCUCGAGCUCUCUCCUCCUCACGAAGGGAAGAAGUUCGAAUCACAGAAACGUUGUUAAGGAUUCUUACCUGAAGUAUUGUGGUGGUGGGUCUUGUAAUCGCUCCCCCAGGGUUUGCUCGCCGGCCGUUCCCUUAACGGAUUCCCUUGGUUACCAAAAAAAAAAAAAAAAAGAAUCUGGGGGAGAAUAGGCCACUCAAUUGGAAUAUUUUCAUGGGCUGUCGAAUAUCAGAAAACAAUGUCAUUUUCCUAGAAAAUGACUUUUGAAAAAUAUUUUCUGGAUAUCGCCUAUUUUCCGUGAAACGAAUGGAUCCUAAAUGUAGCAUGAGUUUUCAACCUCUAGAGAUUGAUUGUCAAGAUAAUUCCAUUCAUUUCACAGAAAACAACUUGUAAAAAAACAUUUUCUAGAUUGUUCAGUGUUUAAUGGAAAAUGAACUAGUAGGGGAAAACAUUUUUCAUUAAGGAAAAAAAUUCUUUUAAAAUUGGGAAAAAUGUUUUCUAUUUUUCAAGUUGGGGAAAUAGAAAACAUUUACCCUACUCACUCUCUUAUCUCGUACUGUUUUAGCCCAUCUUCUUUCUUUUUUUUUUCUUUUUUAAAAAUUCGAAUUUUUAAUUUUUUUUCCACUUUUUUCUUGGUUGGUUGCCAACCAUGACAAUGGCCGAUGACCAGCCAUAGGCGAGCUCGAACUCGCCAAUUUGGUUAGGCCCAAGGCCAGUGAGCCAGUAUCGAGCUUGAAUUCGCCUUUGGACAGAUUGGCCAAUGAAGAAGAAGAUAAGAAAAAAAAAUUAAAAUUUAUUUUUAAGGAAAUAAAAUCAAAUAAUAAAAAACUCGAUUUUUAAAAUAAUAAAAAAGUUAUUAAUAAAAGGUGCACGGAGAAAAAAAAUUUCCUUAUCAAAUAGCCAAAAAAAAUUUCCACUUUAUUUUCAGAUCUUAGCUGUAUAUAGAAAAAUAAUUAUAUUUUCUUGAAACAUGAUAUUUUAGAAAAUAUUUUCCAAAAAUGCCUUAUUUUUCGCGGAAGGAAUGGGUAAGCAUCAAAGUCGUGGGAGCGAAGCAAAAAUAUUAUAGAAUCUAAAUUAAUUUGGCCCCAAGUCAUUGUUUACACGUGAAUCCUGUUACUUCCACUUUUCUUGGCAACUAAGAAAACAAAAAGAUCUCUUGCUUCUUAUCAAAGCCGCUACAUUGAGAUGGACCCGCAUUUCGCACAGUCCAGACAAAAAUUAUCUAUCCACGUUCCCAUUAGGAGUCCAAAUAUCCAAUCAUAUCCCCCUCACAGGCUCUUGUUCAUAUUUCUCCCCUCAAGGCCUCAUUCUCUUCUUCUGUUCUCAAUCAUAAACCAGCAAAUCCAAAGAGUCAUGCUCUGUCAGAAGAUUGGUAGAACCAAGAAAUGCCAAACCUAUCGUUCAAUGUCGAUCAUGCGUCUCCUGAGGAUGAGAACAUAGGUGAGCCGACAGUACCGGGUCAACCCCAUGAGGCCCUGCUUCUGGUCUUGCCUUAUCUCAGCUUAUCUGGGCUGAUUGCCGUGGGCGAAGUGUGCACGUCUCUGAGAGAUGCGCUGCGUGACGAUGUUCUGCCGUGGCUCGAACUCAUUGUCGACGAUCCUUUGAGUCGGCGGAUGUGUGACGAGAUACUUAUUGAGAUCACUUCAAAGGCAAAUGGGAAGCUCCGGACACUGGGGCUGUUCAAUUGCAUGAAAAUCACAGACGGCGGGCUUCAAACUGUUAUAGAGAGAAAUCCUCUCAUCAACAAGGUAAGAUGCAAACCGCUACUCCAGUUAUCCUUUUCUUCUUUGUGUUUAUUGUGAAUUGCUGGAGAUGAUACCUGUAUAUCAUUGUUUUCUGCUCAUGUCCAGCAAUUAAUCAUACCCUUAAACUUGUUUGCUUCAUGAAGCAAACUGCUCCGUCGAACUAAAGAAGUAAGCUCGUGGCAGCCAAAAUCAUAGUGUACGGAAAAAUGUCCGUAAACAUAGUGUUUCUUGUGGGGUUCAGUUUAGUGUUGAUGGCUUCUUAGUGUGCGAUUAGCAACGUCUGAAAAAAUGAGUGGAGACAAUAAUCGUUUGUUCUUCAAAAUAGAAGUAAUUCGAUUUGCAGAAAGUUUACUUUGAUGGCUUAAAAUUGUUGUAUAUGAAGUUAUAUGUACCGGGAUGUACUGGCUUGACACCAGAGGGAGUCAUAAACGCAGUGAAGACUCUAUCAGCACAUGGUAACAUUUUACAGUCCAUAAAGAUCAAUGGCAUCUACAACCUGCAGAAGCAACACCUUCAAGUGCUUCAGUCCUACGUUCAAGAGAAUCCCAAAACGCUGGAGCACAAGUGCUCCACGCACUUUGGACUCGAGGGUGACUGCAAUAUUUGUCCUCUCGAUGUGGAAAUCUGUCCAAAAUGCAACGAGGUGAGGAAGGUCUUUAUCUGCCCUAUAGAAACAUGCGUGAGGAAGAGAGACCGGCGAUUAAGUGAAUGUAGAGGAUGCAGCUCUUGCAUUCCGAGGUGCAUCCAGUGUGGCGCAUGUGUCGAACCUGACGAUCUAGAGGAAGCCGAGGCUAUUUGUGCGGACAUCUUAUGCAUGAGGUGCUGGCUCCAACUACCCAAGUGUGAUUUCUGCAACAAGCCAUACUGCAAGCAACAUGCGGAGGGGCAGCUCAAUCCUUCAGGGUCUCGGGGGUUUGUUUGUGAGUUGUGUGCUGUAUACGAGGAGGAUGAUAUUGAUGUAUAGCUUUGGGCAAAUGAAUCUUGAGAAGGCACAAGCAUAAGGUUCCCUUUUUGCGUAUGAAUGCAUUCUGCAGCAUGUCCCACAUAGUCUCUUUUUGCUACCGUUAGUGCACAGGUGAUGAUUAUACCUUCUCUUCUCCAGAAGUGAACCUUGUUUCAUUCGUUUUGACCGUGCAGUGAAACGGGCAAGAGUACGCACAUAUGAUCUCCUGAGUUUGUGCCCGGUCGUUUGAUUUUACCAUUACAUUUUCUAGCUGUAGAAUCACGUCAUUCAACUUGUGUCAGAUCAGAAAUUGUCACACCUCACUCUUACGAUUCUAUCUUUUGAAGUCACUCCAUCGUUUUUCAUCCCAAAAGUAUGCAGUCGGUAAAGACCGAUGAUAAUGCCUUUAUGAAAGUUGCAAACUGGUUUACAAAAAGAGCUUGGAUUCAACUGUUGGAAAUUAUAUAAAAAAAAAAACAAACUAUUUGUUGUAAUCAGAACAUCAAUGUAAAGAAAACGAUAACAGUUAUACAAUAUCAUUCUUUUUAUUUAAACUUACAAAUCUUGGAGAAUAAUAAAAUAAGAAAUCACUGGAAAAAUAAUAUUAAAUUGGAGGUGAGGUACGAAUAACUGAAUCUCCUUAAGGCGACUAGUUCCUGUUAAUGGUGCUCUGCAGAUUCACGAACUAUGCAUCCCAAGAUAUAACACCUCGAACUUAUUUGGAUUAGCACUAUGCAAACAUGAUUCUGUCGAACCGUUCAAUUGAACCAACACACCCAGAAAAAAAACGGAAGAGUAGAAAAGUAUAUCAAAGCUCUUUUGGAAUUGAGUCGAAAAAGCCAAAACCGAAAAACUGUAAUGAAACUCGAUACUUCCAUCUAUUUAUAGAGAUUUUUAGUUCAUGUACAAAAGAGAUACAUGAAUUAAAUAGAUGUGUGUAUCCACGAAAUUCAUGAAUCAAGAGAUACGCAAAUCCAAGAGAUUCAUAAAUCCAAAGACACAUGAAUUCAAGAGAUUCGUGAACUCUAUAAAUACAUGAAUUUAGGAAAUUCAUGAAUUCAAUAGAUACGUGAACAUAAAAGUUGAGGAAAUUCAUGAAUCCAAAAGAGAUACAUGAAUAGAAAAAAGCGUAUCUUAAUUUAUUGACUUUCGUUGAUUCAUUAACCAUAAUUAUAACUAUAAUUACAACAAUUUCUCACAUUAAUGGAUCAACAAAACAUUUUUGACUCGAAGGAAUCUGAGCAUGCCUGUUGAAAUACACCACAUCAAAAUAGGUAGCUUUUGCUUUGAACCUUCUUUAGUGAAAGCCUAUCGGACUUAUUUAACUAGUCAACGGACUAAGCCUUGAAUUGCCAGUUGUUUGUGUAAGCCUAGACAAUAAACCUCACACGGAGUAUUUCCAAUUCAAGAUUAGUUCUCAGUUGUGUUCAUUCUUUCGACCUUAAACCUCUCGGAAUUCAUGCGUGCUUUAAAGAUUUUCAUAAAUUCGGCCAGCUCCAUGCAUAUAGGUGCAUUCCUAUUAAAGAUAUCCUACCAUAUGAAUGUUACAUUCCAAGUUAUAUGAAUCAUUAAACACAUAUUGUACCAUUAAUAACACUGUAGGAAAGCACUGUUGCAUCAUAGGAAUGGGAGACAGUGCUUACACUAGAGUUUCCAGAGUUUGCGUUGUCCUAUUGAACCUAGACCAUGGGAUCUCCAAUCGCAUAUGUUAGGUUUCCAUUCCAAAAUCUCUUUAUUAGGUUAAGGCGCUUAAACCCAUUCCCCUCCAUGUGCAGUUUACCUUUGUCAGUGGAUUCGCAAUAUUUUCUUUUGACUUUACAAAGUCUAAAUAAAUGAUUCCAUUUGAGAGCAAUUGUUUUACGGUAUUGUGUUUACAAUGAAUGUGUCUAGACUUACCGUUAUAAAUCACAUUAUGCACCCCCACAUUUUUAGAAAAUUGUAGGAUGACAAUUUUUCAUUCCAUAACUCGUAUGGAGUUUUACCUGGCCUUUUGUGAGGUAUUUUAUUAAGGAUAAAUUAUGCAGUUAAAACUGCCCCCCACAAAUUCUGAGGUAAACUUGAACUCAAAAACAUGGCGUUAGCCAUCUCCUUUAAAGUGACAUGUUCAAUCGUUCAGCAACUCUAUUUUGUUGUGGAGUAUAAAGGCAGUCGUUUGGAGAAUUAUUCCAAAACUAGCACAAAACUCCUUGAAAUUGAUUGAACUAUAUUCUCCUCCUCUAUCAGACCUAAGCACUUUGAUUUGUUUAUCAAGUUGGUUUUCAACUUCAUUUUUAUACUUGACAAACAUGCUCAUAGUCUCAUAUUUGCUAAUUAAUAAAUAAAUAUAGCAAAAUCUAGUAUAGUCAUCCACAAAUGUGAUGAAAUACUUCUUUCCCCCUUUACUUUCUACAAACUUUAAAUCACAUAGAUCACUAGGGAUUAAUUGUAGAAGUUCACUUGUUCUUUCAAUGGAUUUGAAAGGUUUCUUGGCAAACUUGGCCUCAACACAAGUCUCACACUUGUAAUGAGCAUCCAACUCAAAUCUUAGAAUUAACCCCAAAUUUGCUAUUCUCUUCAUUGUACCAUAAUUUACAUGUCCUAAUUUACCAUACCAUAGAUAAAGAGACACAACAGUGUAAACUGAAAACUUUUCUUUAUUAAUAGUCUUUGGCUACACAUAAUUUGAGUUUAUAUCAAUGAUAGCACAUUGGCUUUAAACAAGACUUUACACAAGUACCACAAGUAUCAUUUCCCCACGCACAUCCCUCCUUUUGAAAGUAUAAACUUGUCAGAUUCAAAUACAACUUUAAAAUCCUUCUUGACAAGUAUGGGGCCAGAAAUUAGGUUUUUCUGAAUUUCUAGUACAUGCAACACAUUCAACAAGAUGACCUCCUUGCCAUCUAACUUCAGGAUCACCUUUCAUCUUCCUGUAAUCUUUGUUCAGGAUCACCUUUCAUCUUCCUGUAAUCUUUGUUGAUGCAGAGAUAGCCAUAUAAAGCUUUUCAUCUUCUUCAUCCUUCUCAUAAGAUGAGAACAUGUGUUUAUUUACAUAGAUGUGAUUUGAUGUAGAGAUAGCCAUAUAAAGCUUUUCAUUUUCUUCAUCCUUCUCAUAAGAUGAGAACAUGUGUUUAUCUGCAUAGAUGUGAUUUGUGGCACUCGUAUCUAGCCAUUAGCUAUUAGUGUUCGACACUAGAGAUGCUUUGGACAUCACCACACUAGACAAUCUCUCAUUAGCUGUAAUUGGAGGUGUUGCCAUCACAGUAGGCAAGGUUUGUAGAACCAUCUCUCUAGAAAUAGAGCCAAAAGCCAUUUGGCUUGUAAUGUUCUGAAAAAUAGUCCCGGGCAUACUAGUCGUAUGAUUUGUACCUGCACCACCAAAAUUGGUGUUAGCCCAGGGGCCCGUAGCAUUGGCUACUAUAAAUUUAGACCUAGAGGGCUAAAUAUCUUCCAUAGCAACGGUCGAAUUGACCAUAGGAAUGUCUCCUGAAACAUUAUGAACAUUGAAUGUCACUUAAUUGUUUUUAGCCAUCUCAAUAAUCUAACAAUAACAACAAACAGUGAGUGACCUAAUCGCCUUAAGAUUGUUGGAAAUUAUAUCCAGAGAAAACACAAACUGUUUGUUGUAAUCAGAACAUCAAUGUAAAGAAGACGAUAAUAGUUAUAUAAUAUCCUUCUUUUUAUUUAAACUUACAAAUCUUGAAGAAAAAUAAAAUAAGGUAUCACUGGAAAAAUACCAUAAAAUUAGAGAUGAGGUACGAAUAAUCGAAUUUCCUUAAGGCGAUUAGUUCCUGCCAAUGGUACUCCGCAGAUUCACGAACUAUGCCUCCCAAGAUACAACACUUUGAACCUAUUUGGAUUAGCACUAUGCAAACAGGAUUCUAUCGAACCGUUCAAUUGCAUCAACACACCCAGAAAAAAAGAGGAAGAGUAGAAAAGUAUAUCAAAGCUCUUUUGGAAUCGAGUCGGAAAAACCAAAACCGAAAAACCAUAAUGAAGCUCUAUGCUCCCAUCUAUUUAUAGAGAUUUUUAGCUCAUGUACAGAAGAGAUACAUGAAUUAAAUAGACGUAUGUAUUCACGAAAUUCAUGAAUCAAGAGAUACGCGAAUCCAAGAGAUUUAUGAAUCCAAAGACACAUGAAUUCAAGAGAUUUGUGAACUCUAUAAAUACAUGAACUAAAAAAUACAUGAAUAUAGGAAAUUUAUGAAUUCGAUAGAUACGUGAACAUAAAAGUUGAGGAAAUUCAUGAAUCCAAAAGAGAUACAUGAAUAGAAAAAAAACGUAUAUUAAUUUUAUUGACUUUUGUUGAUCCAUUAACCAUAAUUAUAACAACAAUUACAACAUCAACUUUUGAGCAGGACACUCAUGGAACAUCCUUGCCAUCUAUGAAGCACAAUCUUGUUCCCUCCCAUUACCAUGCGACAUCAUUCAUUUUAGUUUUCUUUUUUCAUUGCACUCUUCCAAUUUCCUUGUGCAAGUGAUUUAGCUGUGAUGACUUAAGAGGUCAUUCCUUCUCAGCAGCGGCCCUUCAUGGGGUGACCAUAUUCUCCUCUGUUCGACUUAUGAUGAAUCCAUUCAGCAGAAUAAUCGACCUUAAUUAAAAAUCGGAAAGAAUAUUAUGUUUAUUCAUGUUGAGAUGGCAUGUCUAUUCAUAUUUCUUAAAUAUAAAUGAUAAUUCCCAUGGUACAUCAUUAAUUGACUGAUUGGAAAGUUAUGAAAUGAGUUAGAUUGUGAAAAUCUUUUAAUCAGAGUAUAAUACAACAAGUGCUUUAUACGCGAAUAAUUUAUCUCACUUCAAGAUGGGGGGUAUUUUUUUUUUUUCAUAAAUUCAUAGUUGGAUCGCAAAUCAUGUAUGUACAUGCAUUUUUUUUUUCUUUUUUGGGUAAAAGUACAAGUACUUCCUCACAAGAGAGCAUUUUUGCCUCAAGUCAAUGUUCAGCUAACUUUACAUAAAAGGUUGUUCUCGAAUUUCAAUCACAUUUGAAAGACUUUCAAAUAGGGCCGCAAGCAAUUGCUAUGACGAGGGUCACAACGCUUGCCUAAACUAGCCAAGGAGACCUCACCCAACUCUCUCCCCCCCUUUGUUUCUCACAAUUGCGUUUUUGUGUGAUGCCAUGGUGUUGCCACGAUUGUUGCCAUGCCUCUUUGUUCUCAAAAUUAUUCUCUCUUAACUUACUAAAAAAUAGCCAAGUAGGAUGAUAAAUCCGUAAUUCACAUUAAUUUAUAAUAGUUCUUAUAGAAUAUCACCUUGAACUAAAUAUAUAUUUUUCAAGAAACACACUAAGCCAAAAAAGAUGUUUGAGGACUUGAUUAAACAAUUUUAAGAAGGGCCUAUCUAACACCUAUUUGGCACCAUGUUAACUCCAAGUCUUCUAAAAAUGUUUAACAUGAAACACAAAACAAUAAAAAAUGUUAAUAUUCUCACUUGUCUUGAAAACUUAAUUGCGUGACUUUUAUAAAUUUUAAAAUUUGAUCGUACAAAGCUGAAUUUUGGAAUUUAGUUCAAUUUCAGAAAUAAGUUUCGUUAUUUUAAGAUUCACAUAGCAAUGACUUAAUAUAGGGAUUUUUGUUAAUGAUAGUAAGAACAGUAUGAUUGACAAUUUGACAUUUCCUUCAAUAGUUUUUGAGUUUUUAUCUUUUAUCUUUUCCCCUUUUUGGCUUUGUAAGCAACUAAUAAAGCCAACGGAAAAAAAAAAAAAAAAACACGCUUUAGGGGCAAAAUUCUCCUCGCAGCUCCAGAGGGAAGAAGAAAGCCAACGGAAACCCACGCAGCUCCGAAACUCCCCCCCUUCCCCCCCGCCAUCGAAAUGGUCCGCCGAGAAGAAUCGUAGGAGCUCCGUCGCUUCUUCGCACCCCCGCCCCGCCGCCGCGCCGCGCAGCGAACGUGAUCGCCGGGGAGGGAAGAUGGAUCAGCCGCCGCAGCGAUCGAGCUCGGCCUCGCGGGCCUACCAGGUCCAUCCGUCUCGCGCCGCCAUCAACGAUCUCUUCAACCUCUACUUAGGAGUAAAACUCUCUCUCUCCCCGAAACAAUCCUCCUUCGGCUUUUGCGUGUUUCGACUCUAGUCGUUCGCAAGUGUCUGACUUCGCUCGUGUUUCGCAGAGGAACAGCCGCCACCGAGCCGACGACUCCGUCCGCGAACCCCCGUAAGGGCUCGAAACUCGGAAUGCGUGAAGCCCGUGGAUUGGCUCUGUGUUGUCGCUUGUGUCUGUUAAGUGUAUAGGAGUACGAUUGUGGAGCAAUUGAUUAAGUUUCCGGUCCAACUGAAAAUGGUCCUUUCGUUGUUAGGUGAAUUAGAUGGUUUUUGCGCCCACCCCUUGUGCCCUAGGUCUAAGAUGAGAAGGUGAUUUUGCUGUCCAAAGUUGGGAAGGGAAAUUUCGGUGUGUUUGUUGUUUGAAUCAGAGUUCGACUUCUGGGUAUUGUUGGGCUGUGCGUCGGAUGCAAUGAGGAAUCUUUGGUGGUUUGCUUCCUUCGGGGGUUAAUUCUGCUUCAAUUUGCAUCUAAAUCACCUGCAGGAAUAAGGCGCAGAAGCGUGUCGUGGCUUUUAACAGGGACCUUCCUCCUCAGAAUGACCAGUUCAUUGUGGACUUCCAGCAACUUCAAAACCAGUUUGCUGUAGGUUAAUAAAUCCUAUUGCAAAUACAUCUUCCUUUUGCAUUUUUUCCUAAAUCUCCCUCUCUACCUAUAUAAUUUUAUGUAACUAGCAGAUGCGAGCUUAAUGUGUGUGCUGUGCAUUUCAGGACCAAGAUCAACUGCGAUCCAUGACAGAAUCUGUAAUUAUAUCUUUGGUUGGACUGUGCAGAAAUCAUGCACCACGGGCAGAGUUUCUUCUCUUUGCUCUACGGAGCUUGUGUGGUAUUGGUUACAUUAACUGGGACACAUUUCUGCCUUCUCUUCUUUCUUCAGUUUCGUCAACUGAACUUUUAGUGGGUCAGGGGAGCCAGUCUAUGCCUGUAGUAUCACCAACAAGCUUAUCACAGUCUGAAAGGGUAGCAUCAUCAGGCGCAAUCCCCAAUUCGAACUUUCAGCCUUCCAAUCCUGCAUCUCCAUUGUCAUCGGUUCAUGUCAUUGGUUCUCCUGGUCAGUCAACAAUUGAACCAUCAUCUGGUGCGACAAUGUCACCGGUAAAAUCAUCUGAUAUCUCCUUCUCUGGUCAACAUGCCGCAGUGAGAACUGGUUCAUCUGUAAGAGACAGUGGUGUGAGCAGCCUACGUCAGCUAUGCUGCAAGAUUAUCUUGAUAGGUCUUGACUUUAAUUUAAAACCGGUGACUCACUCAGACAUAUUCUCACAUAUGCUUAAUUGGCUUGUUAAUUGGGAUCAAAGACAACAUGGAAUGGAUGAAUCCAAUGUCAUCAAGUCCUGGAGACCUGACAAGGCACUGAUAGAAUGGCUACACAGUUGUUUGGAUGUGAUUUGGCUAUUGGUUGAGGAGGACAAAUGUCGAGUGCCCUUUUAUGAAUUGCUACGCAGUGGCUUGCAGUUCAUAGAGAACAUACCGGAUGAUGAGGCCUUAUUCACCCUUAUCUUGGAGAUCCAUAGGCGGAGGGAUAUGAUGGCAAUGCACAUGCAGAUGUUAGAUCAGCACCUUCAUUGUCCUACAUUUGGAACUCAAAGGAUACUAACCCUCACUACUCCUAAUGUGUCUGGUGAAGCAGUUGGAAACUUACGGUAUUCCCCGAUCACAUAUCCAAGUGUGCUUGGAGAACCACUAAAUGGAGAGGUGAUUGGCUACUCCUAAAUUUUGUAAAAAAGGGGCAUUCUCCUCUACAAGAUAAGACACAUCUUCUAAUUUAAAGGAGAUUUUUGAUAGAUUUUAUUUACUAAUCAUAUUUUUCAGGAACUAGCAACAUCAAUUGUACGGGGAAGUUUGGAUUGGGAAAGAGCAUUGCGAUGUAUAAGACAUGCUAUUAGGACUACUCCAUCGCCUGAUUGGUGGAAGCGUGUGCUUUUGGUGGCUCCUUGCUAUAGACCUUCAGUACAACCACCAACUCCUGGUGCUGUUUUUACCUCUGAAAUGAUAUGCGAGGCAACAAUUGAUAGGAUUAUCGAGCUAUUGAAGUUGACAAAUUCAGGCAAGGUGUUCUAUCUUCACAGAUGUAGUUGGAGUUUUCCUCAAAAUUAAAGGGAAAACAACACAAAUGGUCCAUGAAUUUUGUUCCAAUGUGCAAUAUUGCCCUUGGACUUUUUAUAUGUUCAAUGUGGUCCCUAAACUAUUAAUAAUGUUCAAUCGACUCCUUAGAUUAUAUAAAAAUGGUUUAUGUUGUUCUUUCGUUAACUCAAGUUUUGCUAAGGUGGCUUUGAAUCUGUUAAGUUUGAAGGUUGAACAACAAAAAAUAGUUAUACGUGAAUUAAUUAAGUAUGAUAUUUAUCUCAAGGAUAUAGUAAUCCACAUCAUUAGAUGAUGAACAUAUUAAUGCCUAAAUGUUUUGCUCUUUAAAAGUAGAUGGAUAAAAAGAUGAUGUUGACUCAUCAUUUUUAAAGUCCAAUUCAGCAUAUAAUGAUUCAUGUCAUCAAAUAACGCCUGAUUUGUUGUUUGUGCAAACAAAGGACUACAUCGAACAUUUAUGGAUAGUUCAAUGACCACAUUCCAAGAAGGACAUUGCACAUUGGGCUACAUUUCUCGUAGCAUAUGUAUCAUUUUCCCUAAAUUAAAUGUAGAUUACGUUAGGAAUUCUAGAUAUGUUCUUGCACUAUUAAGGAGAAUUGUGCUUUACAGUUUUGGAGAAGGAAACAUAUUAGUUCUAAUCCUUACCAAAAAAAAAAAAAAAAAAAAAAAGCAUAUUAGUUCUAAAACUGAUGAUUUGCAAAAUUGCAUGCUUUGAAUAUAAGGUCUAUCCAGUUAAGCAUGGAGAUAUUUCCAUCUUUGUUUGUUGCACUGAUCAAUAGGAAAUUCUUCGUGUGGUGGUCAUCAAUGUUGAAGAUAACGUUAGAUCAAGGGUUUAUUAUUGGGCUUUGCAUUUACUCAUUUGUACUUUAAUGGAAAAAAAUGGGGAGCGACUAAGAAUCAAUCAAUGGCUGUGAAGUUUAGGAUUUAAUUUGCUAUCUAAAACAAUAAAUCAAGGUCUCGAUUGGUUCUUGAUAAUUGGAGAUAACAUAUACUUCUCUAGCUUAAAGAAAGGUAAUCAAGUAGGUAGGAGAUGCAAAACUGAUAAGCCCAUCAUGAAGAUAAUCAUAUUUAUGAAAUUGCCAGGACUUAUGAUCGGAGGUCAAAUUAAUCAUAAAAAAAAAAAAAGCUUGAGCACAUAAAGAACCCAAGAAGAGUUUGUAUGGUGAAACAAAGAAAUUUCUUAUGCCAAGCAGGCCAAAUACUACUUUCUCAAAAUGAUGGAAGACCACCUUAAAGUCACUAUGAUCGGAUUCAAAUGGGAACUGUUGGAACAGUUUAGUACCUGAGACUUAGUUUGGUAUUUGUUUAGCCAUCAUUUGGACGAGGCUGCUUAUUCUAAGCUGCCAUUCUAUCUGGGCAAUUGCACUUUUUGGUUGUUUGCAUCAAUUCCUUUAUUUGGCUAGUGAAGUUGUGCUCUUGACUUUUACCUAGUCAACUCCUUUUAAGCCAAAAAACCAGUCUUGCUGCUGAAUUUUUUUUUUUUUUUUUGAUACUUAAAUAACUUAUUUAAUUAGUCAUAAUGAAGCAUGUCGUGCUGAUGCAAUGUUUGAACUAUUUAAUUGCUGGUUUAGGACCUUUACGAACAACAAUAGAGGUUGUUUGGAAAAACUUUCCUGCAAUAACUUCAGCUGUGAAAAGAUGCACUGUAACUUUUUAUAAAGUUUUUGGCAAACACCUGACAGCUGCAGCAUCUCCAAAGACAUAAUGGCUUAGAACAGUUUUUAAGAAUUUCUCUAUCCUAGGUUUUAAGAUAGCUUUAGAACAUGUUUUGUCAAAUAUACAGGUUGCACCACUUCACAACACAAUCAUUAAUCGAUAUAGCUACACUUUAGCCACAAUUAUGUCAAACGGGCUUUAUAUUUUUAGUAGUAUAACUUAUAGCAACUGAGCAAGGAAAUUGGGGGAUUGUAGAAUGUGUUUUUGAUAGAAUUAAAUUCCAUUUGGUCAAGUGGCAGGCAAUAGAAACAUUUUGAUAGAGGGGAUCUUGGGAGUUAAAUGUUUGUUGCUUUUUAAUGAGGCUCUAGCUGGCAAAUGGUUAUGGUGUUUAAUGUUGUACAUGAUCACCUCUAGAGGAGAUUGUGGUUGUGCAGUAUGGCUUGGAUAACAUGUUGAGAUGAACUUGUGUUUGGGGGAUAACAUGUUGAGAUGCGUGUGAUUGUGUUAGAAAACUUGCACAUUGAAGAAUUAGUAUAGUGUAAAGCAGUUAAUAUAUUAUAUUUGACCCAUAACUCAUUGGUUUAAGCUUUCGAGUGAAUGUGGGUUCAACUGGAUAUGCUGAUGGGGUUGAACUUGGUCUUUUUCGUGGCGAUCUGCUCUAUUGAAGAUAUUGGAUUUCAUCUGCACGCUCCCAACAAGUAUCGGAGUUGAUGAUUGAUUACAAGUAUCGGAGUUGAUGAUUGAUUGGUGGCACAAUCUCAUGUUUCUUGAAUAUCUCAAGGAAAUAAUGUUGUGACAAACGUAGUUUAUAGGCAGCCUUCAUAGUUUGGUAUGGCGAAAGAGACCUUAAUAUGAAGGUGCGCGUUAGAAAUUUAAGUUGAGACAAGUUGACGCAAAUGUAUACUUGAAUUAAGGCAAAGCAGACCUAACACUAAGCUCACACGUGAUUGGGAGAUUGUUGAGAUGCACGUAUGAGUUGUGUUAGAAAAGUCCCACAUCGGAGAAUUUGUAUGUCAUGAAUAUAUUCUAGUUGGCUCAUAACUCAUUAAAAUACUUAAAUUAAAGGGUAGUAGACCUAACGACCAGCUCAUAUGUGGAGGGGAGAUUGUUGAAAUACAUGUGUGAGAUCGGAGAAUUGGUGUGAUGUGAAGUGGGUAAUAUAUCCAAGUAGGCCUAUACCUCAUUGAUUUAAUUUUUUGAGUGAUGGUGGAUCCAAAUUGAUAGUCCAACUGGAUAUGUUGGCGACCUGGGACUUAGGUCUCUCUUGGUGAUCUCCGCAGGUGAAGGUAUUGGAUUUCAAUAUUCCAACAUAAAAUGGUUUUGAUUACCAAGUAUAGAGGAUCAUUGCAUGGUUUUGGAACAUGGAGGUGGAUUAGAGAGGCCAGGAUGACCUUUACACCUUCAUUAAAGUUGGUGAGGAGAGUAGAACUUAUACUUGUAGUGACGUUUGGCAUGGAAACAUGCUACUAAAAAAUUGGUUUCUUGACCUCUUUUGUAUCUCUAGGGACAUUUAUAGAGGUUUUUGUGGAGGAUUGUUAAUUUUUGAACUUUGAAGUGACUUCUUAGCAUAUUGAUUUUUCUUAGGCAAGAUUGCGAGUUGGAACCUUUAGUAACUUUUUUGACGAGGCGUUGGACUCUUAUAUUACCCCCUUUUCUAAUUAUAUACUGAUGUGGAAAUCUGUCAAAAGUAGUAACUUUUUUGUUAAAUCCUUUCAUGGUUUUUUAAAGGAGAAGAUGAUGGUUGGUGAUGGAUUGACUUCCUGGAUAUCUAUUUGGAAAUCCAAGGUCCACGUAGGUUGUUUUAUUUGGUUGGGAAACUUCUUGCAGGCACAUCCUUACUUUGGACAAUCUGAAAAAAGAGGAGUUGUGUUAACCAGUAGAUGCUUCCUUUUCAAACAGAGAGGAGAAACCCUGUCAAACCUUGUUAGAAAGUCCAAUCCAAAAGCUUAAGCCGAUAGGUGAAGGGAUACCACAUGAAUAUAAAAAGCAUUUAGGGUUCAUUGUCAAGUGAUGUGGAACAAUAUUUCAACACCUCCUCUCACAUUCGGAUUAUGAGCUGCACGUGGAAUUUUUUUACCACACACCUUCGCGUAAGGGAUAACUGGCUUUGAUAUCAUGUUAGAAAGUCCAACCCAAAAUCUUAAGCUUAAUUGGUGGAGCGAUACCAAAUGAAUAUAAAGAGAAUUUAGCUCCUCUGUUUUAUUUUUGGUUCAUAGAGUGGAAUGAGAGAACUUUUGAGUGGCAAGAGUCCUCUAUUCAAGAUCUUAAAUUGGCUUAAAGUUCUACAUCUUUGGUAUAGUGGGGAUAUGUUCUUGGAUGUAGAUGCUUCACUCGACAUUAUGGAUACCUUGUCUUGUAAAUGAGAUCCCCGUAUUGGUUUUGAGCUCUUUCUGGACAUGAGCUCUUUUUGUACAUAGGUUGGCUUCCCUUUGGUGUCUUAUAGUGAAUUUCUCUUUACUUAAAAAAAAAAUGCUGAUGUACUAACAACUUCCUUGACCAGAAUAGACGGGAAAGCUGGUCACCUGGUCAAGACCCUGGGAAGAUUAAGAAGCCUGUGAAUAUAAGAGAUAUCGUGUACCCUAUAUAUGAUAUCUAUGCUGUAACUCAUUUGAUAAUGAAGACUUCUCUGUAAUAAAAUAAGGUGGUUUUCUAUCAAAUAUGGGAGUAAUCAUGGAGGGAAAGAUAACUUUUGGCCAUGCUCUUUUGGUUUGCUGCUAAAAUUAGAUUCUUCAAAGUUGUGCUUUUUAUUUGUUGUGACCGAAAUUGAUCUCAUACUUCAGAUUUCCUUAUCAUUCUGCCAGUGUUAUGUUUAUUUUUCUACAUGCCUGGACUUGUAAUGCUGGUAAAAAAUGAUUAAAAUCUAGUCAUUCAUAGACUGCUGGAGAUUUGGAAUGGACUCACAACAAGCAUAAUUUUUUGCAGAGAUAAAUUGCUGGUCAGAGUGGCUCAUCUUUUCAGAUAUCUUCUUUUUCCUAAUGAAGAGUGGGUGUAUCGAUUUUGUUGAUUUUGUGGACAAACUAUUUGUGCGACUUACAGAAGCCGAUCAACAUAUUCUUCGUACAAAUCAUGUGACUUGGCUAUUUGCUGAAAUUAUUCGAGUCGAGCUCGUGGGAAAUGCUUUGAAUUCAGAUUCUAGAAAGGUUGGUUUUAAACUAUCAAUUGGUUUUGGAUCACUAUUUCUCAGUUUUUUUCCUGUUCUUUUUUUUGGCCAUACAGUCUUGUUUCUAAUCAAUAUAUGCUCAACAGGGUUACUUUUGCUGUUGCGUGUGAGUUAUUUCAUAUCAUGUUGUCGGAACAUGUCUUAGAAAACAGAGAGAUAAGUUACAUGAUGAAUUAGGACCCCAUUCCUUAAUCCUCUCCUUAUACAGUGACUCAGCUGAUAACAGUCACAAAGUUGGUUUGGUGGUCAAAGCAUUUUUUGGUCUCACUUGACAUCUGACUCAAGCUUCAGAACAGAUGUUGUUUGUUGAUCAUCCAGUUUAUUUGACUUUUAAUGAACAUGAUAAUUUAUUUGUGGUAUUUUUGGUUCUUUCUUCAAAAUACAUUCCUGCUGUAAUUCAGCUGUCCAAGUUAUUAAUAAAUUUUUUUACGUGUUUGUAACACACAUUUUGCAGGACGCAUCUACUCAAUUCACCUAAUAUGCUCUUGAAUAAUGUGUUCUGCUCUUCAUCUAUUAUGCGCUUGUUCUCAAGGACCUGUAACUCAAUGUGACGACGAAGGUUUAAAACAGAAGAAAGUGAACUUGCAUAAUGAUGAUAGUAGUGAUAAACUCGAGGAAGAGAGGAAAUGCUGAAUAUAAUGAGCUGCAAAUAUAAUUUUGUGAAGAGUAUGUAGAAUGCUGCUAGAAUAGGUGAUUUUUGUGAGCAUGGAAAUUCUAGAUGAAUUAUAGUGGAGUGUACAAUGUGGAAGACUGGACUUAACUUUUAGUUGGCUAAAUGUAGAUGUGUGAAAGUUUUGACAUUGAAAGAUAAAAACAACAGUCUGGUGAAUAAUAUUUCCUUUAUAGAAUAAAAUGAAAAGGUGUUAUGUUAGAAUGAGGAGGGGGCCCAAUGGAAAAGGGCCAUAAAAUUUUUGUUCAGGUGGCUGGGCUUUAAUACUAAAUAUGACUUGGUUAAAUUGCUGGUGGCAAAAUUUCUCAUAGAACAGACGCAUAAACCUUGCAUAGGACAGAUAUAGAUCACAUGCAUAAACCUCGCUUACUGAGGAGCACUUAAUUAAUUCCAUGCUUCCAAACUUUGCCUUAGGAUGAGGAGACAAAAUCUUGAUCAUAAUUGUGUACAGGGUUUCCAGAGGUUUUAACUCUUAUAGAGUAACUUGCCUAUGCUUAUAAAACUUGUGAUUCUCCAGCAAUCAGGUCCUUUUAGAUGAUAUUAGGCUUCCUUGUACUACCCGGUGAAGGGUUUGAUUGAUGAACAAGGUUUUAGUAGACCAUGGAUUAAAAGGACAAACGUCCACUUCUCACUUACAGUAAUUAGCCUUGAUAUGAGAUGUGGUUUCUUGCAAUUUGGAUCACAUGCAUAAACCUCCCUUACUGAGGAGCAUUUAGUUAAUUCCAUGCUUUCAAAAUUUGCCUUAUGAUGAGGAGGCAACAUCUUGAUCAUAAUUGUCUACAGGGUUUCAAGAGGUUAUAACUCUUAUAGAGUAACUUGCCUAUGCUUAUAGCACUUGUGAUUCUCCAGCAAUCAGGUCCUUUUAUAUGAUAUUAGGCUUCCUUGUACUACCUGGUGAAGGGUUUGAUUGAUAAACAGGGUUUUAGUAGACCAUGGAUUAGAAGGACAAAUCUCCACUUCUCACAUACAGUAAUUAGCCUUGAUAUGAUGUGUAGUUUCUUGCAAUUUAGAUGGCUUUUGCAGAUUAAUUCACAUAUUCUUCAAUUGUUUAAUAUCUUUUACUCUUGAAGUUCAGAAUGUUGAAUCAUUACGUAACUCGUGCUUUGCCCCCUGCUAGGUGGAGACAAUCAAGAAGAUUUUGUCAUUUCAUCGAGAAGACAGAGGCUCAGAUCCUAAUAAUCCUCAAAGUAUCCUACUUGAUUUUAUUGGCAGUUGUCAGACUUUACGAAUUUGGUCACUGAAUACAGCAACGAGGGAAUAUUUGAAUAAUGAGCAGCUUCAGAAAGGAAAGCAGAUAGAAGAAUGGUGGAGGCAAGUGGGCAAAGGUACUGCUUAUGAAUAGCCUUGUUAGAGUGUAGUCGUUUGAUGGUAUAGACAUACCUAUUACUAGUGAAUUCUAUCUACUGUUCCAUUAUUGUCGACUUCUCACUUAAGCCAUUCUUUCCAUUGGCUAACAAAUGUUCAUUGGCUUCUAGAAAAGCAUAGAAAAACAUGGACUAUAAGCUUGGACACAGAGAAAAAAGACAUAUAAUGUGCCUAGAAAAUUUGAUGUGCCAUUAUAAUGUGCCUAGCAAAUUUGAUGGCUUCUAAUUUAAGUAGGAUUGUACUUCUCAGGAAAAUUUAGUAGGAAUGGCAGGCCAGGUAAAAGGAGAUUUCAUGUUACCUUAAAAUAGAAGCUGCAAAUGCCUAUAUUCCUCCACCCAGGAGACGUUCCUUUACUGAAUUAGUCUUUUUAAAAACCUUAUUCCUUUCUGAAACAUCUUUCUUCAUUGGUGUUUUUACACUCUGCACCAUCACUUUCCAGAAUUUACACUUAACAUCCUCUCACUUAAUCUUCAAUAAUUACCUGCACCUUGUGUUAGUAUUCUUUUACUUGAUCACCCUCUACAGUUUAAUUAUAAGCAAUGAUGCCACUAGAGGCCGAGAUUCCAUUUAACACAAAUGCACUUCAGCUAGCUGCACUUCCAUGCAGAUCACAGAUUCUGAGUAAGGCAACUUUCUGGAGGUAAAAUUAUAUUGAUGAAAUAGAGGUUUUGGUUGCCAUCAAGGUAGCAGGAAAGAGAUAUGUUGAAUGGGAUAUAAAAUCAUGCAGGAUUAAAUCGGAGACCGCCUCUGAGCAUCAAACUAAUGUAAACCGAGAAUCAAGACAUGUAUGAUAAUUUAGAAAGGAAAACCUAAAUUUAACCAUCACAUAUUUGAAAAUAGAUAUGAAGUAUUUGCCAAUAUGGGUCCAUGUUCUGGUUUUGCUUCAUGCAAUUUCAAACUAUAAAGCUUAGCAAACCGUUAAAUAGGAAAGAAGGAAUGAUGACCCAAGAAGUACCUUGAGCUGCUUUUUGAAAAUCACCUUUGAACUCUUCAGUUGACAUAACUCUGACAACUUAUGCUCUUGGCUGCGUCAAUUAAUUGUCACAAUUGUCAUGUGCAUUUAAUGAAUGCAUCAGAUGUGCCACCCUACAACUUACGUGUAUGAAUAAUACGAGCUCACAGACCUGAUGCAUGUGCUUGCACACAAACUCAUGAGCGAGAAUGCUGUAAUUUAAAUCACAUAUUAACAGAGAAAAUCAAUCAACCUUCUGUAUUCUUUUUUCACCUCAAAGGAAGUGAAUGCUAUCCUCAACCAUGUGGCCGUAUUUAUCUCUGUCUCUUAUGGUUAGCCUAGUUUUAGGCUAUCACAAUGUCCAUGUGGAUGCUAAUAGCAAAGUUUAUUUGGACUGCACCAAUUGCUUAAACCUGUUGUCUCAGACAUGUUUAUGAAGUUUCAAUCCAUGCAUAUUGAGCAGAUUUUCUACAGCUUGUUGAGCUUCUUUUUCAGGAGAUCGCAUGAUGGACUACAUGAAUAUGGAUGAGAGAUCAAUAGGGAUGUUUUGGGUUGUUUCUUACACCAUGGCUCAACCAGUUUAUGACGCAGUGAUGAACUGGUUAUCCUCUGCUGGAGUUACGGAAUUAUUACCAGGUUCUAAUAUGCCAAAUGAGAGGGUAAUGAGGGAAGUAAGCCCAAUACCAAUGACCCUAAUCUCUGGGUUCUCAAUGAACCUAUGUUUAAAAUUGGCGUUUCAGAUGGAGGAGACUUUAUUUUCCAACCAGGUAUCCAUUAAUGGAGCUUUGUCCUUUCUACAAUUCUUGUGGAUUUUACUUUUGCUGCUCCAUCAUUGCUCAUCUUCAGCUUAAUUGGCAUGAUAUCAUCUAUUGCCACUUUGUACAGCUCUAUCCUUUUUUUCUGUUUAAUCUAUGGUUAUGCUUUGCAAUGCCCUAGUGUGAAGCAGCAGGCAUCGAAUCUAAAUCCAAGAUGAUAAUAUGCCAGUAAAUGUUGAUAAUUCAUAAAUGUUGAUAAUUCAUGCACCAUUGUUUUGUCAAUAUCAUAUAUUCUUUUCUGAAUGCAGGUUGUGCCUAGUAUUGCUAUGGUGGAAACAUAUACCAGACUGCUGCUCACUGCCCCUCACUCAUCAUUUCGCUCUCACAUCAGUGUAGGCACUUCUUUCACCCAGUCUAAGUAAUAAGUAUGCCUAAUCCGUAAUGCAAAGUUCUACCUAGUUGAGGUGACAUGACUAUGUCCCAUUUUCUGCAGCAAUUGGCUCAGAGAAAUCCGGCCUUGUUGAGUAAGCCCGGAGUGACAAUUUUGCUAUUUGAGAUUUUGAACUAUCGCUUACUUCCUCUCUACAGGUAAUUCUGAUUGGUCCAUAGAAUAUCUUAUGUUUCCAUAGUAUUUACGGUGUGCUUAACUCUAGUUAUUCCUUUUGAUGAUCGUUCAGUGUUGAAACUUCUGGGCUCCAAUUCUUGAUCAAUCUCAAUCUUUCUCCAUAGUCAUUGGAUCAAACUUUCUUUUCAGAUACCAAGGGAAAACCAAAGCUUUGAUGUAUGAUGUCACGAAAAUUAUUGCUGCUCUCAAAGGGAAGCGUGGGGAUCAUCGUGUAUUUAGAUUGACUGAGAACUUAUGCAUGAAUGUAAUUUUUUCACUGAGAGAUUUCUUUUCGGUGAAAAGGGAAGGGAAGGUGAGUAAAAUAUUAGGUGAACGUGGAACUAAUUAUCUGGUGUGUUAUCUUUUCUUGCCAGUUACUCCCAUGAUCUCAAAUGCCAAAGAUUUUUUUUUAUCUAAUUUAUUACCAAUAUUUCUUUUGGCAGGGUCCAACUGAAUUUACUGAAACUCUGAAUAGAAUGACGGUCAUUACCCUAGCAAUACUCAUUAAAACUCGUGGUGUUGCUGAUGCUGAUCACCUUCUAUAUGUUCAAACGAUGCUAGAACAAAUACUAGCAACUAGUCAACAUACAUGGUCGGAAAAGACACUACGCUAUUUCCCUUCUGUGCUUCGCGAUGCCUUGGCAGGGCGAAUUGAUAAGAAGGGCCUUGUCAUUCAAGCAUGGCAGCAGGUUCAUCAUAGAACUUAAAACCCUUUUAACUUCAGAUCUUUGUUAUCUCUACUUUUCCUAGCCAUAAUUAUUUCAAAUAAUAUUGCAUUUUUGUCUAGUAUCAUUCGUUCCUUGCACUAUAUGGAGGACUUUCACAGGAUUUUACUACCUUUUGACUAUAAAAUUCUUUUGUUCCCUUGUAUGUUUUCCACACCCCAUUUCUAUCACCAGUUCUUGCCUUAGGCAUGAGGGGUCUCGUGGCAUAUGAUUCUACUGUUUCCGAGUGUUAUAUUGUUCAGGGAUCAUUCAGUGUGCUUGUAUUUAGCCGACAAAAUGGUUGCCUUUGGAUCUGAUUCUACAUCUUAGAAUUUUAGUAUAGUUUGCAGUCUAUGGAUGAGCUAAGAUAUAGGUUCGCAUGUGUUUUGGGAGGGUCGGUUUGAAUUCAUGAUAUCUUGAAAAAGAAAUUCUGUCAACGUGAUGUUUGUCAUAUUGCUAAUUUUUGUUGGAAAGUCUCAAAAGCUUAAGUUAUUGGGUGGAAGGAGAUUACACGAAUACGAGACUCAUCUAAAUCCCAUAGACGAGUGAUUCAGGAUACUUUAACACUCUCUCACGUUUAAACCAGGCUAAGAACGACAUAUGGAAUCUGCAAAUGAGGAGGCUCACAUGCGUAACACACUUGGGGAAUAACCUAGAUGUUAGAAAGUCUAACCCAAAAGCUUAAGCCAUUUGGUGGAGGGAUCACUUGAGUAUGAGGAUCAUCUAAACCCGUGGACAAGUGAUAUAUGAUACUUUAAUAAUCUCAAAACUAGCAUAUGGGUCAAAAAUGGAAUCAAUUAAGACUUUCUUUGCAAUGAUUGUUUUACAAGCUAAAUUAACCUAUACAGCCAACAUGUGUAUCUUGUUCAUGUAUUUAAAUGUCCUCUUGGUAAAGCUUAAAUGUGGGAGACAUGCUUUAGCUUUUCAUUUAACAGGCCAGUUAUUGGACAUAUUAGUUCUCUUAUUCUACUAGGUCCCUGUUUUACUCAUGUACAGUGCAAUAUAAGUUCGGGAAAGUCCUGAAAAUUGUGCAUGAGAGGCUUUCGGACAUACUUAGUUUUUAGCUAUCAGUGUUGUAGAUUAUAUCUCAGAAUAGGGUUAAACUCUUCAUUUGCACUAUGGUCAUUACUAGUUUUCAAAUUUCAGGGUUUGCUUUAACUUUGUUCCUUUUUUUUUCCCCAGGCAGAGACAACGGUCAUAAACCAAUGCACCCAGCUUCUUUCGCCAUCUGGAGAACCUAAUUAUGUGACAACCUAUACUAGCCAUAGUUUUCCUCAGCAUCGUCAAUAUUUAUGUGCUGGAGCGUGGAUUCUGAUGCAUGGGCAUCCUGAAAACAUUAACACUACAAAUCUGGUAUUACGGCAAGCCUUACAGCACUUUGCAUGUUGCCAUGUGGUGCUGAUUAAUUAGUUGCAUGUUUCCUUAAUUGCAGAAUAGGUUUUUGGCCUAGUUUAUUUCGAUAAUAAUAAGUACUCCUUCAAUCUCUCUCUAUAACCUACAUAUAUGUGUUCUGGAUAAAAGGUGCGUGUGUUGAGGGAGUUCUCUCCUGAGGAAGUGACUGCUAAUAUCUACACCAUGGUGGAUGUUCUUCUUCAUCAAAUUCAGAUGGAACUUCAACAUGGGCAUUCCAUGCAGGUCUUUUAAUUUGAACUUUCUAGAGAUUUCAAGUGCAUAAGAACUCUCUCUCUCUCUCUACUUGUAAAAUGUAGGCAUCCAUUUUGAUCCAUGUGCAGCUCUUCCUUUUCAGGACCUCUUAUUUAAAACAAGUACCAACCUUGCAUUUCUCAUUUGGACCCAUGAGUUGCUUCCUUUGGACAUACUACUACUGGCACUUAUUGACCGUGAUGAUGACCCCCAUGCCUUACGCAUUGUGGUAAUUUUCUAAAUCUUAUAUUUGUACUUUUCGUUGCAAUUGCUUAUGUCCACUUAUCAGAUGAUAUUUGGUCUGCUAUAUUGCUUCCUCUGCUCCCCAAUCAAAUCUGGUUCUUUUCCCUUCUUGCUAGCGUGGUCUUUAAAUCAACAGUUUCAAGGGGGCAUGUCAUUAAUUUGUCUUAUGAUAACAUAAGAUAAAAAGUUUUCCCUUAUAUAUCAGGUAGCUGGGGCUCUAGUACAGAGGGUGAACACAGCGGUGCUCUUUUGGAAUUAAAUGAUAUGACAAGGCUAUGGUUGAUGAUGUUAUGGUAUUGAUGGUAUUACAAUCAAUUGCAUCUGAUGUUAUACCUAAUGGUUAAAAUUAUAGGUCAGAAGUAAUCUUAUUAUGAUGUCUUUCAACUGUCAUUAUGCAAGAGUCUGUCAUGUAGUUUAUUUUUUCUCAAGGAAUGUUUGGUUGCUUUAUAUGUUUUCACCAUGAUGAUUCAGCCAUUUGAAAUGCCUUGCUGUUUGACGAUUGUCAAUCUUCUUUUCUGUUAUAAGUGGGAGGUUCACCAUCUUGUAAUAGAAACAUCUAUUCCUAUCUUUGAUUUGGCUUAGCUUCUGAUGCUUCUCCUCACCUCAUUAUUACCUACCUUUCCUAUUGUCCUCUUACUCCGUUGACACAUCUCCCCUUAGCUUAGUAGAGAGCUGCCUUAGCUUUUGCCUCAGCAAUCUUCUAUUUCAUGAGAAGUGGUCAUUGUUUCUUUUUCCACUGUAGUUUAAAAAUUCUUAAAUGUUACCGAUCAUAAUUUGAAGAUUUUAAAAAGUGAAAGCUAGAAGCUUCUCAUCGGAUAAGUCAAGAUUAGAAGACUGUGUUGUCUUUUUUAUACGUCGGUGCUAUCAAGGCAUGGAGAAAACCUGGAUUCAAACAACUGAUAAUUUAGAAAAAUGAACCAUCUGAUACAUAGUCACAACUUGCCAAGUAGACAUUCUCAGUGGGGAAGCUUGAGGAAAGCUUGGCUCUGAAGACAGUCCUUCAGGUGGCCUAUUUUGGCACAAGCUGAAAAACAAGUGUAGGCCCUAAGAUGGUUAAUCAUUUGUUCUUUUCUAGACUGCAACUUUGUAUUUAGCCCACGCUGAGCAUUGGGUGCCUGGCCAAAAAGUCUUGACCAAUCCCAUGAUGUGUUUGACUUGCUGCUAAGCUGAUUAAAGUCUGGUGGUCCCAUUUAAGUCAUAAGAAAUAGUGUCUGAUAUGUUUGAGAAAUAAGAAGAGUCACUGGUCUGCUUGUAUAGUGGACUUCAAGUGUUUAUGGUCUCACGUUUCAAUCCUUUCGACGUAGCUUUGUCUUUUAAGUUUCCAGCUACUUGAACAGUUGUCCCUAUAAAUAAAUUCUUUAUUUAUCAAAAAAGGAAUUUUUACUUCGAUGGCAUUAACAAGCAUUAUGCUCCAGAUCAGCCUUCUUGACCGACAAGAACUUCAACAAAGAGUGAAACAAUAUAUUUUGAAUCGUGGACCUCCUGAACAUUGGACUUACCCCGGAACUUUUAAGCGUGUUGAACUGCAAAAAGCGCUUGGGAAUCAUCUCUCGUGGAAAGAUAGGUAAACUUGCUGGCAUUAUCAUCCUCUUUGAUGGCACGUGCAGAAGAAUUUGGAUUUGCUCUUUUAAUCUCAGAUGGAGAUGCAAUGUAUUUCAUUAAUCUUUAGAUAAUAACCAUUUCCUGUUAAUUGUAAGUUUAAAAGUAAAUUUGACUUACCCCAAUUUUGUUAAUUUUGGAUGAUCAACAAUUAAAAAUUGCCCUUAUUACACUGUAUGAUUAAGAACUAGCAUGUGCAUUUGUUUCAAUAGAAAAUAUUUGUAAAAAGUACGUGGGAGUUUGUAUUUUAGUUCCAGUUUUCCUUUUCUUAAAAGGCUUGCGUUCAAGAAGAGAUUUCUAAAGAAGCAUCUAAAAUACUCUUUACACAAGUAGGUUUUAAGUGCUACAGUUUUUAAAUUCUUUAACACAAGGAUUAAGUGAUUAGUUGCUGUCCCUCAUAAUUAUAGAUCUUAUCAUAGGCAAUCUCUGGUUUUCUCUUAUCAUAGGCAACCCCUGGUUUUCUCAAGUAUAAACCUUUUCUUUAUGUGGUCAAAGUCUAGUAAUUAGUUAAUGAACGGAUGUCUUGUGUGAAUGUCUCAAUCUGUUUGAAAUCUUCAAUGCAGGAAUCCUCCAUAGCAUGUAAAUAAGCUGGCAAGGAAACCUCUUUUUUCACUCUUCCUGUCUGUCUGAGUAAUGAAUGAAACCAGUUUGUCUAGUCCUUUGUCAAUAUAGGGACUUACAUGGGUUGGAUUAGCAUUUGGCCAAUCUGUUGCAUUAUGUUCAUUAAGUUGAAAACGCGGGGACUUGGUGACUAUAUUUUAGUUUCAUUUCCUCAAGAUGCUUAUUCAUAUUGCAUCACUAUUUUUUUUUCUUUUUACAUCAGAUCAAUCUAAGUUGUCUCCUCUUGAAUUGGAUAUUCACUAGGGUGAAAUCUGGAUUAGAUAAAACGAAAAUUUAUGUUUCAUGGAUUCCUUACUAUUUAUCACUGUCUACAUGUUUGUUAUGUACUAGAUCUUAAUCUUUCUCGGAACCCUUGAAACUAUAUGCAUUGUCUUUAUACUGAAUCAAGCUAAUCCAUUGUAGUCCCUCUCAAAGGCACGCAGUCACAGAAGGCAAUUCAAUAUUCACUUUUUCUCUGUACAGGGAAAAGGAGGAGCAGAAAUAACUAAUUUAUAGGAGAAGAUACUCACUUAUUUUUCUUUAGAGUAGUGUUUCUUGCUCACGUGAGAGUUGCUAGUUGAAUUGUUAGAGUCCUCCAAAAAUAGGUUUCUGAAAGCUUUUAGGGCAUAAUUCAUCUCACCAUUUAUAGUUGGAUUCUGGGUUUCUGGAGCUUUCUCGAUCUUCGGCUUACAAAUCUCCAAAUCUCCAAUUAAGUUAGUCCUGUGGCUAUGCACAUGCAAUGAAGCUCUUGUCGCAUGGAUCGACAAUAUCCUCUUAUUAUUGAAUAGGACUAAUCGUAGGGACAAUAUAGACGAUCUUCGUGGUAAGAGUCUGAAUGAUCAAAUUUUUGUGCCUUGUGCUGCAUUCGUUUUACUUGGACUGAGAACUUUCAUCAUGAACUCCUUUUUCAAGGAAGUCUUGGAAGCUGGUUUCAUCUGUACACCAACUGUUAUUGGAUAUAUUUAAUUCAGCUUUAACUUUUACUGCAGCAAUUUUUAGAGUAGUGUAAGCUAUACUUCGUGAUGGUUCCGAAUUACAGUGAUGCAUGGUCAUUGAGCUUAAUUUCCAGUUGUUACUGGACGCUUCUGUGGACUGUAUUCUAACAGUUUAUGUUGUUAUUAGUUAAUUGGGCAAAUGAUGCUUGAUGAUGCAGGUAUCCCCCAUUUUUUGAUGAUAUUGCAGCCCGGUUGCUUCCCGUGAUCCCCCUUAUUGUUUACAGACUGAUUGAAAAUGAUGCCAUGGAUCAGGCUGAAGCAGUCCUGGCUGUUUACUCUCCAUUUCUAGCUUAUCACCCUUUUCGAUUCACAUUUGUUCGUGACAUACUCGCAUAUUUCUAUGGUCAUCUUCCUGGGAAGCUCAUUGUCCGAAUUCUGAAAGUACUUGAUCUUAGCAAGGUGAAUAUCCUCUUUAUAUCUUAAUCCUUUGAAAUGCUGCUGUCUCUACAACCAUGAUGACUUGAUUUUUUUUCCAGAUUCCACUUUCUGAGUCAUUCCCACAACACAUUAGUUCCUCAAAUCCUGUCAUGUGCCCACCUCUGGAUUAUUUUGCUACUCUGCUAAUGGGUCUGGUCAACCAUGUCAUUCCUCCAUUGAGUAGUGACGCAAAAUCUGUUUCUGUUGGGGAUACUUCAAACAAUUCAGCUCGAGCUCCACAUAACAAAACUUUGCCAGCCCAACCUGGCCAAAUGAGUGCCUCAGAAGGUCAAAAGGCAUUUUAUCAAAUUCAAGAUCCCGGCACACACACUCAGCUGGUUCUGGAAACUGCUGUGAUAGAGCUGCUUUCACUUCCUGUGUCUGCAUCUCAAAUUGUGUCAUCCCUAGUUCAAAUUGUCGUUAACAUCCAACCUACCCUAAUUCAAUCUAGUAAUUGUCUGCAUGGAGCUCCAAAUGGUGUUGGACAAGGUUCAGUCCUACCAACUUCACCUUCAGGUGGAAGCACAGAUUCCUUGAGUGGCAGCAGAUCUACUCCUUCAGUUUCUGGUUUAAGUACCUCUAACUUUGUCUGGCGAAGUGCUUAUACAUGUCAACAACUGUCUUGCUUGUUGAUCCAAGCUUGUGGUCUUCUAUUAGCUCAGCUUCCCACUGAAUUUCACUCGCAACUUUAUUUGGAGGCUACGCGCGUAAUUAAGGAGAGU
Molecule: long non-coding RNA, 38682 nt
Filed under: Eucalyptus grandis
Lineage: Eukaryota; Viridiplantae; Streptophyta; Magnoliopsida; Myrtales; Myrtaceae
Description: long non-coding RNA (EGRA_LNC001051)
Source: RNAcentral